CUGCAGCCUCUGUCUUCCCGGUUCAAGCGAUUUUCCUGCCUCAGCCGCCUGAGUAGCUGGCUCAUUGCUUUUCUUCUGACUUGCCCUAACUUUCAGCAGGUGCCCAUCAGACUGAAACGUACUGACCAGAUGAGGGAGGAGAUGGCCUUUGCCUCAUAAAUGUCAUAAAAGGAUGGAAAAUUGAAAGCAAUGAACAGAGAACCCUGGAAAAAAUCAUGAUUUUUUUCCUCCUGAAAAGACUCUUCACUGUCAAAAAGACAUUUAUCAUCUUUUAAAAUAUGGCCAGGCACGGUGGCUC
Molecule: long non-coding RNA, 298 nt
Organism: Homo sapiens (human)
Lineage: Eukaryota; Metazoa; Chordata; Mammalia; Primates; Hominidae
Exons: 3
Source: RefSeq, a predicted model, not a curated record